This 524-nucleotide ribosomal RNA is filed under the name uncultured bacterium. RNAcentral describes it as "bacterial SSU rRNA". It matches the Rfam family "Bacterial small subunit ribosomal RNA", at positions 26 to 518 of the family's 1533-position model. The record is from RNAcentral.
AGGACGAACGCUGGCGGCGUGCCUAAUACAUGCAAGUCGAACGGUCUUUCUAUGGAAGCUUGCUUCCACUGAGAAGAUAGUGGCGAACGGGUGAGUAACACGUGGGUAACCUGCCCAUAAGAGGGGGAUAACAUCCGGAAACGGGUGCUAAUACCGCAUAGUUUUCUUGAUCGCAUGAUCGGGAAAGGAAAGACGGCCUUUGUGCUGUCGCUUAUGGAUGGACCCGCGGCGUAUUAGUUAGUUGGUGAGGUAACGGCUCACCAAGACGAUGAUGCGUAGCCGACCUGAGGAGGGUGAGUCGGCCACAGUUGGGACUGAGACACCGGACCCAACUCCGUACGGGAGGCAGCAGUAGGGAAUCUUCCGCAAUGGACGAAAGUCUGACGGAGCAACGCCGCGUGAGUGAAAGAAGGUUUUCGGAUCGUAAAACUCUGUUGUCAGAGAAGAACAAGUUGGAGAGUAACUGCUCCAGCCUUGACGGUAUCUGACCAGAAAGCCACGGCUAACUACGUGCCAGCCGCCGC